CACGUAAGGUGCGAGCGUUGUUCGGAAUUAUUGGGCGUAAAGGGCAUGUAGGCGGCUGAGUAAGUCGGGCGUGAAAUCACGGGGCCCAACCCCGUGGCCGCGCCCGAUACUGCACAGCUUGAGUCAGCGAGGCGUGGCCGGAAUUCCUGGUGUAGGGGUGAAAUCUGUAGAUAUCAGGAAGAACACCGGUGGCGAAGGCAGGCCGCGAGCGCAUGACUGACGCUGAGGUGCGAAGGUGCGGGGAGCGAAC
RNAcentral lists this ribosomal RNA (250 nucleotides) under uncultured prokaryote. Its description in RNAcentral is "partial 16S ribosomal RNA". It matches the Rfam family "Bacterial small subunit ribosomal RNA", at positions 524 to 773 of the family's 1533-position model. The record is from RNAcentral.